Molecule: long non-coding RNA, 550 nt
Filed under: Homo sapiens (human)
Lineage: Eukaryota; Metazoa; Chordata; Mammalia; Primates; Hominidae
Description: HSALNT0154398
Source: RNAcentral
CUAUAUCAGAUUGGACAGGUACAUUAGCUGUACAGUGGUGCAUAUAUUCAGCUGUGAAAAGACAAGCAAAAGAGAAACAGGUGAACCACAGCAUAGAGCACCAAUUCAUUUUACAGUGAUUUUUUUCUUUUUAUACUUUUAAUUACUUCGCCUUCUUAACAUUGAACUUUCAGCUGUGCAAAGAAAGGGAGGAUUGGAAGACAGUAAUUGCCCAAGUGUGGGUGUUUGCUUGAUGCCUAUGGGCAGAGGGGCCAGAGAGGGGAUAGUCAAUGUGGGGGAUGCAAAAGGUGUUGAAAAUGGAAAGACUGAGUGGAGCAAAUUUCUCUGGGAAAUUUGUCCUCAGUGAAGCUAUAGAAGACUGAAUAUUUGAAGAAUAGUUCAAAGAGGUGUCUAGGAAAUGCAGAUCUGGCUUCAACUCCCCUUCCACUUUCUUCUACUCCAAAACAAACAUCUAUGAAGCCCUGCAAUAAGGUCCUGCCUCAAGAUGUAGCCACCGAGUCUCAGAAAAAGAAAAAUGACCUUGAGACUUGAGACGGCAUAACCUGGUGUU